RNAcentral lists this unclassified non-coding RNA (240 nucleotides) under air metagenome. Its description in RNAcentral is "partial contains small subunit ribosomal RNA, internal transcribed spacer 1, and 5.8S ribosomal RNA". The stretch from base 1 to 46 matches the Rfam family "Eukaryotic small subunit ribosomal RNA", at positions 1786 to 1831 of the family's 1831-position model. The record is from RNAcentral.
AAGUCGUAACAAGGUUUCCGUAGGUGAACCUGCGGAAGGAUCAUUAGUGAAUAUAAAGGCUAAGCACGCAAGUGCCUGCUUUUCAUACACACAUCCAUAACACCUGUGCACCGUCGGUAGGCGAUCCCUUUGGGGUGAGCCUUCAGACAUUAAACCUUUUUUUACCAAACUAUUAUAAGUAUAAAAUGUAAUAUAUCAUAACAAAAAACAAAACUUUCAACAACGGAUCUCUUGGCUCUU